UAUGUGAUCGUCUCUCGCAUAUCAAUAAGCGGAGGAAAAGAAACUAACAAGGAUUCCCCUAGUAACGGCGAGUGAAGCGGGAAGAGCUCAAAUUUGAAAUCUUAAAGGGUUUCCCUUUACGAAUUGUAGUUUAAAGAAGUGUUUUCUGUUGAGGUUUUGGUAAAAGUUCUUUGGAAUAGGACAUCAUAGAGGGUGAGAAUCCCGUAUUUGACCUUUACUUUCAACUUUGUGAUACACUUUCAAAGAGUCGGAUUGUUUGGGAAUGCAGUCCAAAAUGGGUGGUAAAUUUCAUCUAAAGCUAAAUAUUGGCGAGAGACCGAUAGCGAACAAGUACCGUGAGGGAAAGAUGAAAAGAACUUUGAAAAGAGAGUUAAACAGUACGUGAAAUUGUCAAAAGGGAAGCGUUUGACACCAGUGUUGUUUUUCUGAAAAUCAAUUAAAGAACUGUUUAUGCUAAGUUGUUUAGACUUUAUCAGCUAACUGUUUAGUUUUGAGCUUUUCUUUAAUGCACUUUUCAGUUAACAAGUCAACAUCAAUUUCUUUUGCUGUAAAAAAGCUCGAGGAAGGUGGCUUGAGAUUCGUCUUAAGUGUUUAUAGCCUCUUGCCUAUGCAGUCGGAGAGAUUGAGGUCUGCAGCGUAGAUCCUUCGGGGCUAAAUGCAUUUGUGCUAAGUUAUAGCAUUUUAUAGACAACUUGUUGACUAUGAUUAGUCUUGUAGCUUACUCGCUUAUGUUAUUUUACCUACGCUUAGGAUGUUGAUCUACAGAGCGAGAGU
RNAcentral lists this ribosomal RNA (774 nucleotides) under uncultured Neocallimastigales. RNAcentral's name for it is "partial large subunit ribosomal RNA". It matches the Rfam family "Eukaryotic large subunit ribosomal RNA", at positions 24 to 631 of the family's 3401-position model. Lineage: Eukaryota; Fungi; Neocallimastigomycota; Neocallimastigomycetes; Neocallimastigales. The record is from RNAcentral.